GAAAUGCGAUAAGUAAUGUGAAUUGCAGAAUUCAGUGAAUCAUCGAAUCUUUGAACGCACAUUGCGCCCGCCAGUAUUCUGGCGGGCAUGCCUGUUCGAGCGUCAUUUCAACCAUCAAGCCCCGCGCUUGUGUUGGGGACCUGCGGCUGCCGCAGGCCCUGAAAACCAGUGGCGGGCUCGCUGUCACACCGGGCGUAGUAGAUUUUAUCUCGCUCAGGGCGUGCUGCGGGUUCCGGGCGUUAAAAAGCCUUUUUUACCCAAGGUUGACCUCGGAUCAGGUAGGAAGACCCGCUGAACUUAAGC
RNAcentral lists this unclassified non-coding RNA (303 nucleotides) under plant metagenome. RNAcentral describes it as "partial contains 5.8S ribosomal RNA, internal transcribed spacer 2, and large subunit ribosomal RNA". The stretch from base 1 to 105 matches the Rfam family "5.8S ribosomal RNA", at positions 50 to 154 of the family's 154-position model. The record is from RNAcentral.